UGGGGAAUAUUGGACAAUGGGGGCAACCCUGAUCCAGCCAUGCCGCGUGAGUGAAGAAGGCCUUCGGGUUGUAAAGCUCUUUCGGCCGGGAAGAAAUCGCAUGGGUUAAUACCCUGUGUGGAUGACGGUACCGGAAUAAGAAGCACCGGCUAACUACGUGCCAGCAGCCGCGGUAAUACGUAGGGUGCGAGCGCUAAUCGGAAUUACUGGGCGUAAAGCGUGCGCAGGCGGUUUAGUAAGACAGGCGUGAAAUCCCCGGGCUCAACCUGGGAACUGCGCUUGUGACUGCUAAGCUAGAGUACGGCAGAGGGGGGUGGAAUUCCACGUGUAGCAGUGAAAUGCGUAGAGAUGUGGAGGAACACCGAUGGCGAAGGCAGCCCCCUGGGCCGAUACUGACGCUCAUGCACGAAAGCGUGGGUAGCAAACA
RNAcentral lists this ribosomal RNA (427 nucleotides) under uncultured bacterium. Its description in RNAcentral is "bacterial SSU rRNA". It matches the Rfam family "Bacterial small subunit ribosomal RNA", at positions 355 to 774 of the family's 1533-position model. The record is from RNAcentral.